GUAUCUGAGGAGCGUUGCGACGGGACGACCCGCCAGGCUCAGAUAGUGGUUGCACAUACCAACGGCGCUCAGUCAUU
This 77-nucleotide non-coding RNA is filed under the name Thiothrix lacustris. Its description in RNAcentral is "SAH sequence". It matches the Rfam family "SAH (S-adenosyl-L-homocysteine) riboswitch aptamer". The record is from RNAcentral. Lineage: Bacteria; Pseudomonadati; Pseudomonadota; Gammaproteobacteria; Thiotrichales; Thiotrichaceae.